RNAcentral lists this ribosomal RNA (506 nucleotides) under uncultured bacterium. RNAcentral's name for it is "partial 16S ribosomal RNA". It matches the Rfam family "Bacterial small subunit ribosomal RNA", at positions 29 to 523 of the family's 1533-position model. The record is from RNAcentral.
AGUGAACGCUGGCGGUAGGCCUAACACAUGCAAGUCGAACGGCAGCACAGGAGAGCUUGCUCUCUGGGUGGCGAGUGGCGGACGGGUGAGGAAUACAUCGGAAUCUACUCUGUCGUGGGGGAUAACGUAGGGAAACUUACGCUAAUACCGCAUACGACCUACGGGUGAAAGCAGGGGACCUUCGGGCCUUGCGCGAUUGAAUGAGCCGAUGUCGGAUUAGCUAGUUGGCGGGGUAAAGGCCCACCAAGGCGACGAUCCGUAGCUGGUCUGAGAGGAUGAUCAGCAAAACUGGAACUGAGCCACGGUCCAGACUCCUACGGGAGGCAGCAGUGGGGAAUGUUGGACAAUGGGCGCAAGCCUGAUCCAGCCAUACCGCGUGGGUGAAGAAGGCCUUCGGGUUGUAAAGCCCUUUUGUUGGGAAAGAAAUCCAGCUGGCUAAUACCCGGUUGGGAUGACGGUACCCAAAGAAUAAGCACCGGCUAACUUCGUGCCAGCAGCCGCAGUAA